GCUCAGCGCGUAGCCUGCGGGACCUGCGUCGAAAGGCGUGACGGUACCGUCAGGGAUGCCGCGUAUGGGAGGAUCUCUUUGAGACCUCGGACUUUGCCUAAGUAAUUAUUGAAUCUAGUUUCCAAAGAGGGUGUAAGGCCCGUACGGCAUCGUUCGGGGAAUCUUUCGGGUUCCUCUCGAGAGUCGGGUUGCUUGAGAGUGCAGCCCUAAGCAGGUGGUAAACUCCAUCUAAGGCUAAAUACGACCACGAGACCGAUAGUAAACAAGUACCGCGAGGGAAAGUUGAAAAGAACUUUGAAGAAAGAGUUCAAGAGAACGUGAAACUACCACGAGGUUAAAGCGGAUGUACAUUCGUGGCUGAACGGGGGGUCUCAUCUCCUCGAACCUCUAGGCGUCGUCGCGUUCGGACCGUCUUCGUCCUGCCUCGCGAGGGGCGGGCUCCGGAGCUGGCCGUCGCGGCGUCGGACUCGGGGGAAAGGGGGGUGGAUUUCCUCCCUUAGUACGCAGUCGCGGCCGCUCGUCGGUCGUCUAAGGCUCGGAAGUUGGGAACAGUCCGGCGCUCACGCGCCGGCUGGGACGCUACCUUGAUUCUGGCGGACCUUCGGGCGGUUUAACGGACGAGACGGGGAUUUUAAACGCCUCGCCUCGUACGCGGCCGAAUGAGCGAUCGUUCAUCCGUCCCGUCUUGAAACACGGACCAAGGAGUCUAACAUGUGCGCGAGUCAAAGGGCUGGCUAAACCCCUAGGCGCAACGAAAGCGAAAAAGGCCUCUUCGGAGGCCGUUGGGUCGAUCCGUGCUCCCUUUAGUGGACCGGCGCAGACCCGGGGCUCGCCGUUACCUCUUCGUUCCCUCGCAAGGGGGUUCGCGGCGGGCGGCGGGCACCUUGAGCGUACAUGCUAGUACCCGAAAGAUGGUGAUCUAUGCCUGGCCAGGACGAAGCCAGAGGAAACUCUGGUGGAGGUCCGUAGCGAUUCUGACGUGCAAAUCGAU
Molecule: ribosomal RNA, 991 nt
Filed under: Asellus aquaticus
Lineage: Eukaryota; Metazoa; Arthropoda; Malacostraca; Isopoda; Asellidae
Description: partial large subunit ribosomal RNA
Rfam family: Eukaryotic large subunit ribosomal RNA
Source: RNAcentral